Molecule: ribosomal RNA, 397 nt
Filed under: uncultured bacterium
Lineage: Bacteria
Description: partial 16S ribosomal RNA
Rfam family: Bacterial small subunit ribosomal RNA
Source: RNAcentral
AUACGUAGGGGGCGAGCGUUGUCCGGAAUGAUUGGGCGUAAAGGGCGCGUAGGCGGCCUGUUAAGUCUGGAGUGAAAGUCCUGUUUUCAAGAUGGGAAUUGCUUUGGAUACUGAUGGGCUUGAGUGCAGGAGAGGUUAUCGGAAUUCCCGGUGUAGCGGUGAAAUGCGUAGAGAUCGGGAGGAACACCAGUGGCGAAGGCGGGUAACUGGACUGCAACUGACGCGGAGGCGCGAAAGGGUGGGGAGCAAACAGGAUUAGAUACCCUGGUAGUCCACACUGUAAACGAUGAAUGCUAGGUGUAAGAGGUAUCGACCCCUUUUGUGCCGGAGUUAACACAAUAAGCAUCCCGCCUGGGGAGUACGGCCGCAAGGUUGAAACUCAAAGGAAUUGACGGGG